GGCGGGGCCAAGAGGGCCGAGCCCGCGGGAGGAGGGGCGGCGCCUGUCACGUGACCCGGUUUCUCUGUUUACACGAGGAGUAGGCCCAGCCUUCGGCCUCAGUCAGGCGCUCGGCUCCGUUUCGGUU
This is an unclassified non-coding RNA of Castor canadensis (American beaver), 127 nucleotides long. NCBI's taxonomy places the organism in Eukaryota, Metazoa, Chordata, Mammalia, Rodentia, Castoridae. The record is from Ensembl.